This 213-nucleotide ribosomal RNA is filed under the name uncultured Staphylococcus sp. RNAcentral's name for it is "partial 16S ribosomal RNA". It matches the Rfam family "Bacterial small subunit ribosomal RNA", at positions 150 to 355 of the family's 1533-position model. The record is from RNAcentral. Lineage: Bacteria; Bacillati; Bacillota; Bacilli; Caryophanales; Staphylococcaceae.
CGGGAAACCGGAGCUAAUACCGGAUAAUAUAUUGAACCGCAUGGUUCAAUAGUGAAAGACGGUUUUGCUGUCACUUAUAGAUGGAUCCGCGCUGCAUUAGCUAGUUGGUAAGGUAACGGCUUACCAAGGCAACGAUGCGUAGNCCGACCUGAGAGGGUGAUCGGCCACACUGGAACUGAGACACGGUCCAGACUCCUACGGGAGGCAGCAGCC